This 458-nucleotide ribosomal RNA is filed under the name uncultured bacterium. Its description in RNAcentral is "bacterial SSU rRNA". It matches the Rfam family "Bacterial small subunit ribosomal RNA", at positions 343 to 793 of the family's 1533-position model. The record is from RNAcentral.
GGGAGGCAGCAGUGGGGAAUAUUGCACAAUGGGCGCAAGCCUGAUGCAGCCAUGCCGCGUGUAUGAAGAAGGCCUUCGGGUUGUAAAGUACUUUCAGCAGUGAGGAAGGUGGUGUCGUUAAUAGCGGCAUCAUUUGACGUUAGCUGCAGAAGAAGCACCGGCUAACUCCGUGCCAGCAGCCGCGGUAAUACGGAGGGUGCGAGCGUUAAUCGGAAUUACUGGGCGUAAAGCGCAUGCAGGUGGUUUGUUAAGUCAGAUGUGAAAGCCCGGGGCUCAACCUCGGAAUUGCAUUUGAAACUGGCAGACUAGAGUACUGUAGAGGGGGUAGAAUUUCAGGUGUAGCGGUGAAAAUGCGUAGAGAUCUGAAGGAAUACCGGUGGCGAAGGCGGCCCCCUGGACAGAUACUGACACUCAGAUGCGAAAGCGUGGGGAGCAAACAGGAUUAGAUACCCUGGUAG